This is a long non-coding RNA of Triticum dicoccoides, 538 nucleotides long. RefSeq lists it as uncharacterized. Lineage: Eukaryota; Viridiplantae; Streptophyta; Magnoliopsida; Poales; Poaceae. The transcript is spliced from 3 exons. The record is from RefSeq and is a predicted model, not a curated record.
UGCAGGCUUGACCUAGGCAGGUUGCUACUCGUCGUUGGUUGUAAGCAGAGUCGUUGUGGUGGUCGGUGUCUCCUAGGCAGAUUGAGUUUGCUAGAUUAGUUUCAUGCCAUCGAAAACAACAAGCAGAUGGAGCGGGACGGGGUGAAGGUUCCCGUCCCAUGGCCUUCACGUGUUGUGGCUGGCGGCGCUCCACUUCCUUCCCCCCUGUACGGUGGUCUCAGAUGAUCCUUCAAAGGAGGCCACAGAGAGCAGCGAUUACUUCUUGGUAGUCUGCGGGGAGUUAUCGACAACAGCUGAGGCACUUGGAGGUAUGGUGCCAUCACUGCUCAGCUUCCCCCAUGUUUCCUUUCAGUUUAGAGCUUUCACUUCCUUUAGCCAGGUUUGCAAUUUCAGAUUGCCAGCUACCUUUUAUUGGUGUAUAUGCAAGGAAUAGAGGUUUCUUGAUCAAUCUGGUUAUAACUUUAUUCUCUUGUUUGAUUGACACAUUGUUUUAGUUAUCAGAAAGGUAAACUGGCCAUGUGAAAAUAAACUAGCUUCU